This 303-nucleotide signal recognition particle RNA is filed under the name Pongo abelii (Sumatran orangutan). It matches the Rfam family "Metazoan signal recognition particle RNA". Rfam says of the family: The signal recognition particle (SRP) is a universally conserved ribonucleoprotein. The record is from RNAcentral. Lineage: Eukaryota; Metazoa; Chordata; Mammalia; Primates; Hominidae.
GCCAGGCAUGGUGGCUCACACCUACCGUCCCAGCUACUCAGGGGGCUGAGGUGGGAGGAUCACUUGAGCCCAGGAGUUCUGGGCUGCAGUGUACUAUGCAGGCAGAUCAGGUGUCUGCACUAAGUUUGGCAUCAAUAUGGUGAUAUCCUGGGAGUGGGGAACCACCAGGUUGCCUAAGGAGGGGUAAACUGACUUAGGUUGGAAAUGGAGCAGGACAAAACUCCUGUGCUGAUCGGUAAUGAGAUCACAUCUGUGAAUAGCCACUGUACCCCAGCCUGGGCAACAAGGCAAGACCCCAUCUUU